This 275-nucleotide ribosomal RNA is filed under the name uncultured bacterium. RNAcentral's name for it is "partial 16S ribosomal RNA". It matches the Rfam family "Bacterial small subunit ribosomal RNA", at positions 338 to 604 of the family's 1533-position model. The record is from RNAcentral.
CCUACGGGUGGCUGCAGUGGGGAAUUUUGCGCAAUGGGCGAAAGCCUGACGCAGCAACGCCGCGUGAGUGAUGAAGGCUUUCGGGUCGUAAAGCUCUGUCAAUGGGAAAGAAGUGUAUUGAGGCUAAUAUCCUUGAUACUUGACGGUACCCAUAAAGGAAGCACCGGCUAACUCCGUGCCAGCAGCCGCGGUAAUACGGGGGGUGCAAGCGUUGUUCGGAAUUAUUGGGCGUAAAGCGCGUGUAGGCGGUUUGUUAAGUCUGUUGUGAAAGCCCU